UGGGGAAUUUUGGACAAUGGGGGCAACCCUGAUCCAGCCAUGCCGCGUGUGUGAAGAAGGCCUUCGGGUUGUAAAGCACUUUCGGACGGAACGAAAUCGCGCGAUCUAAUAAGUCGCGUGGAUGACGGUACCGUAAGAAGAAGCACCGGCUAACUACGUGCCAGCAGCCGCGGUAAUACGUAGGGUGCGAGCGUUAAUCGGAAUUACUGGGCGUAAAGUGUGCGCAGGUGGCUGAGCAAGUCGAGUGUGAAAUCCCCGGGCUUAACUUGGGAAUUGCGCUCGAAACUACUUGGCUCGAGUGUGGCAGAGGAAGGUGGAAUUCCAGGUGUAGCGGUGAAAUGCGUAGAGAUCUGGAGGAACACCGAUGGCGAAGGCAGCCUUCUGGGCCAACACUGACGCUCAUGCACGAAAGCGUGGGGAGCAAACAGGAUUAGAUACCCUGGUAGUCCACGCCCUAAACGAUGAUGACUAGUUGU
Molecule: ribosomal RNA, 476 nt
Filed under: uncultured Pseudomonadota bacterium
Lineage: Bacteria; Pseudomonadati; Pseudomonadota
Description: bacterial SSU rRNA
Rfam family: Bacterial small subunit ribosomal RNA
Source: RNAcentral